GCGACCGCCCCGCCGGGAGGCCCUGCACGCACGCGCCGCCGGCCGGGCCAGGUACCCAAGGGAGAAGCGACGCGGUUGGGGAGGUGGGGGGUCCUUAAAGAGACAGUCCCUCUGCGCUGGAGUGGAUGGGGCGGUGGCACCGACUCAGCUGGACUAUGCGGCGUUUCCAGUGCGCUCUCCAAGUAUGUUCUCCAGUUACCAAGGGAGAUGGAGGGACAGGAACCUGAGAGGAAGCCUGCCUGGAAGAAGGGGGCUGCUGGUCCUCAGUCCCUUGUGAAUGCCCAGCCUCUAGUGGUGGGAUUAAGAAUGCAGCCUCUGCCCUCCAACCUUAGGUCAAGACGCUCAACCAGAGUCUCCCUCCACAGAGUACCAUCAUGGCAUUUCCCAGCACAGAGCACAGGACAGCUGGGACAAUCCUUGUGGGACAAAUGGACGAUGGACAGAAGCAUCUGCUUCCAACAGGAGGGUCUCAACCAUCCCCUUAGAACCUAUGCCCCCUUUGGAUAGUAUUUUAUGACAUCCCCCAUUCCACUACCAUGAAAUGAAAAUCAUAGCAUAAUCUGCCUACACACAUAAUUGCAAAAAAUAAAUGCAUGCAUAGGUUCACCAAAAGACACGUACAAGAAUGUUCACAGCAUCAUUAUUCAUAAUGGCCAGACACUAGAAACAACACAAAUGGAUAUGGUAUGUCCACAUGAUGAAAACGAACAAACUUCUGCCAGGCACGGUGGGCACAGUGGCUCAUGCCUGUAAUCCCAGCAUUCUGAGAGGCCAAGGCGGGCAGAUCACUUGAGGUUAGGAGUUUGAGACCAGCCUGGUCAACAUAGUGAGACCCCGUCUCUACUAAAAAUUCAAAAAUUAGCGGGGCAUGGUGGCGGAUGCCUGUAGUCCCAGCUACUCGGGAGGCUGUGGCAGGAGAAUCGCUUGAACCUGGGAGGCGGAGGUGGCAGGGAGACGAGAUCGCGCCACUGCACUCCAGCCUGGGAGACAGUGAGACUCUGUCUCAAAAAAAAAAAGAAAAUGAACAAACUUCCAAUUCACACAACAACAUGGAUGAAUCUCACAAAUACGAUUUUGGCUGAAAGAAGUCAGACAUGAAAAAAGCAUGCAUGUAUGUUUCCAUUAUAUCAAGUUCAAAGGUAGGCAAAAUUAAUUUAAGGUGUUAGAAGUAAGGAGAGUAGUUACCUAGAGGAGUUGUGACUGGGUGGCACCAUGAGUUGGACUUCCAGGGUAUUGAGAGUGUUCUGGUUAUGAAGGUGUGUUCAUUUUGCAAAAAUUCAUAGAGGUGUACUCAUAAGAUUUGUCCACUUUUUUGAAGUAUGUAGUUAUUCAAUAAAAAGUUUACUUAAAAAAAAACAAUCAAUCAAUACAAUGCCCUAACUGUAAUAUAAAAAAGAAAAGGCCGCUUGCACCUAGAGUCAAUUCAUAGCAAUUACAAAUGCAGACA
Molecule: long non-coding RNA, 1447 nt
Filed under: Homo sapiens (human)
Lineage: Eukaryota; Metazoa; Chordata; Mammalia; Primates; Hominidae
Description: non-protein coding lnc-CCDC177-6:4
Source: RNAcentral